This 947-nucleotide ribosomal RNA is filed under the name Miconia pleiomicrantha. RNAcentral's name for it is "eukaryotic LSU rRNA". The stretch from base 706 to 947 matches the Rfam family "Eukaryotic large subunit ribosomal RNA", at positions 1 to 241 of the family's 3401-position model. Lineage: Eukaryota; Viridiplantae; Streptophyta; Magnoliopsida; Myrtales; Melastomataceae. The record is from RNAcentral.
CCUUAUCAUUUAGAGGAAGGAGAAGUCGUAACAAGGUUUCCGUAGGUGAACCUGCGGAAGGAUCAUUGUCGAAAUCGAACGGAAGAACGACCCGCGAAUCGUCAUUGCGUACUAGACAGAGCCCGUGAGCACCUAACGCUCACGGGGCUCGCGUCGCGUCGGAGCGGGUGUCCUCGAGACGCGUCGUACCGGCGGACAAACAACGUCAGCACGGAUCGUGCCAAGGAGCUUUAUUGAGAGAAUCGUCGUCCCACGCCUUUGACAGUCCUCGAUGCGGGACGGGGGGCGGGGGGAUGUACGCAAUCUCUACCCAAAGUCUGAACGACUCUCGGCAACGGAUAUCUCGGCUCUUGCAUCGAUGAAGAACGUAGCGAAAUGCGAUACUUGGUGUGAAUUGCAGAAUCCCGCGAACCAUCAAUUCUUUGAACGCAAGUUGCGCCCGAAGCCAUACGGCCGAGGGCACGCCUGCCUGGGUGUCGUGAAUCCCCUUGCCCCUAGGCACCCGCAUGAGCAUUGGCGGGGAAAUAUGCUCGGGCGCAGAAUAUGGUCUCCCGUGGGAUCGGCAUGCACGGCAUGUCGAGGUGCGGUUGGCCGAAAAUCGAGCAUGGCGGUGACGGGCACCACGGCGUUCGGUGGAUCGAAUGAGAUUGGCUGCGCCGUGGGCUCGGCAUGCGGCGGGCUCCGGACUUUGAUUAUCCCCGAGUGCGAUCCCAGGUCAGGCGGGGCUACCCGCUGAGUUUAAGCAUAUCAAUAAGCGGAGGAAAAGAAACUAACGAGGAUUCCCUUAGUAGCGGCGAGCGAACCGGGAAGAGCCCAGCGUGAAAAUCGUCCGUCAUCGGCGGCCGAAUUGUAGUCUGGAGAAGCGUCCUCAGUGACGGACCGGACCCAAGUUCACUGGAAGGUGGCGCCGGAGAGGGUGAGAGCCCCGUCGUGUCCGGACCCUGUCG